This 236-nucleotide ribosomal RNA is filed under the name Ditylum brightwellii. RNAcentral's name for it is "partial Eukaryotic small subunit ribosomal RNA". It matches the Rfam family "Eukaryotic small subunit ribosomal RNA", at positions 1481 to 1716 of the family's 1831-position model. Lineage: Eukaryota; Bacillariophyta; Thalassiosirophyceae; Lithodesmiales; Lithodesmiaceae. The record is from RNAcentral.
CCUGGGCCGCACGCGCGCUACACUGACAGAGCCAACGAGUUCUUCACCUUGGCCGAAAGGUCUGGGUAAUCUUGUUAAACUCUGUCGUGCUGGGGAUAGAGCAUUGCAAUUAUUGCUCUUCAACGAGGAAUGCCUAGUAAGCGCGUGUCAUCAGCAUGCGUUGAUUACGUCCCUGCCCUUUGUACACACCGCCCGUCGCUACUACCGAUUGAAUGGCUCGGUGAGGCCUUCGGACU